GAUGAACGCUGGCGGCGUGCCUAACACAUGCAAGUCGAACGAAAAGACGAGGAGCUUGCUCCUCUGACGUUAGCGGCGGACGGGUGAGUAACACGUGGAUCACCUACUUCUUAGACGGGGAUGACAUCGGGAAACCGGUGCUAAUAACGGAGAAUAUAUUGUACCGGAUAGUUCAAUAGUGCAUGACGGCUUUGCUGUUUCAUAUAGAUGGUUCCGCGCCGCAUUAGCUAGUUGGUAAGGUAACGGCUUACCAAGGCUACGAUGCGUAGCCGACCUGAGAGGGUGAUCGGCCACACUGGAACUGAGACACGGUCCAGACUCCUACGGGAGGCAGCAGUAGGGAAUCUUCGGCAAUGGGCGAAAGCUUGACGGAGCAACGCCGCGUGAGUGAUGAAGGUCUUCGGAUUGUAAAACUCUGUUAUUAGGGAAGAACAGAUGUGUAAGUAACUAUGCACGUCUUGACGGUACCUAAUCAGAAAGCCACGGCUAACUACGUG
This 497-nucleotide ribosomal RNA is filed under the name uncultured bacterium. RNAcentral's name for it is "partial 16S ribosomal RNA". It matches the Rfam family "Bacterial small subunit ribosomal RNA", at positions 28 to 507 of the family's 1533-position model. The record is from RNAcentral.